This is a regulatory RNA element of Trichomalopsis sarcophagae, 45 nucleotides long. It matches the Rfam family "Histone 3' UTR stem-loop". From Rfam's summary of the family: The mRNAs of metazoan histone genes lack a poly-A tail. 3' end processing occurs at a site between a highly conserved stem-loop (modelled by this family) and a purine rich region around 20 nts downstream (the histone downstream element, or HDE). The stem-loop is bound by a 31 kDa stem-loop binding protein (SLBP - also termed the histone hairpin binding protein, or HBP). The record is from Rfam. NCBI's taxonomy places the organism in Eukaryota, Metazoa, Arthropoda, Insecta, Hymenoptera, Pteromalidae.
CAAUCGGCCCUUUUCAGGGCCACCAAUAUUAUUCAAACGUAUACC